CGUUAGAUCACCGAAGUCAAGCAUCAUUGGGCGCGGUCAAUACUUGGGUGGGUGACCACCUGGGAACACCGCGUGCCGUU
Molecule: non-coding RNA, 80 nt
Organism: Caerostris darwini
Lineage: Eukaryota; Metazoa; Arthropoda; Arachnida; Araneae; Araneidae
Source: the annotation of a GenBank genome assembly